RNAcentral lists this transfer RNA (65 nucleotides) under Micrambina sp. MIC01. Its description in RNAcentral is "tRNA-Leu". Lineage: Eukaryota; Metazoa; Arthropoda; Insecta; Coleoptera; Cryptophagidae. The record is from RNAcentral.
UCUAAUAUGGCAGAAUAGUGCGGUGGACUUAAACCCCCAAAUAUAAAGAAUUUCUUUUUUUAGAA